AUUUCUUUUGAAAAGUUUGUAUAUUAAUGUUUUGACUUUAUUUGUAUAUAUAUUUCAAAUGAUGUGAUAUAGUAUAGAAUUCUUUAGAUUGCUAGAUAUUUUUUAAAUCCUUCAUCUCUCAGGCCUUAAGUGCCAUUUUGUGAUCUGUGCUCCUGACCUUGAACAGGUCAAAUAAGACAAUAACAAUCAAAACCAAGGAGUAAACAAAGACUCACAAAACCAAAGUACAUUUACAU
This 236-nucleotide long non-coding RNA is filed under the name Mytilus galloprovincialis (Mediterranean mussel). Lineage: Eukaryota; Metazoa; Mollusca; Bivalvia; Mytilida; Mytilidae. The record is from RNAcentral.